GGAUUUCACUACGAGGAUGUCAUGUUAGAAGUAUGUCCAAUAUGUAUGUUUUUUUUUGACACGGUUACAAUAGAAAUAUGUUAGAAGCUGUCAACGAAGAAAAUCAUGUGUAAACAUAUACUUGCCUUCCUCUAGCGUCGACAAGGCACCAACCCAGUCGGUGUGUUUUGGUUCUCGAGUUUGCGGUCGAUGUAGUCUGUUGCUCCAUAUACACAUGCUCCGAAUGCAGUUGUGAGGGCAUUGACACCUUCCUGGAUCAGCUUAACACCUUAUUUAGCUUAACACUAGUCUAUUAGGACUUGGAAACAGAGGGGGUCAUUAUAGGUUUAGCCAAUUUUAGAGUUUCGGAUGUAAAUGAGUAUUACACCAUUUAGCAUUGCAGUACACACAAGUUUAGCAUGACCACUACGUGGCAAAAUAAAGUUUGCAUUCUUGAACGGGUGACAUGGUCAAAAUAGUAUUAUUAUUUUUCACGAACUUCAUUGCAGAAGAACAUGACGAUGUGUCAUUUCGUCAGAG
This 519-nucleotide long non-coding RNA is filed under the name Hordeum vulgare. RNAcentral describes it as "long non-coding RNA (HVUL_LNC005750)". The record is from RNAcentral. Lineage: Eukaryota; Viridiplantae; Streptophyta; Magnoliopsida; Poales; Poaceae.